GUUAGAAGAGUAUGGUGAAUACAAUGUCAAGCUUUUAUAUGUUGUUUUUCAUAAUACGUAACGCACCUAACAGCAAUUGCUUCUAGGGCUAAUUAAAUUUUAUGUACUUCUGAAAGCUAUGAAAUCAUACUUACACAACGAUAUAUAAAACAUGAUUCUCUGAUAGAUUCAUCAAUAUCAAAGACUGAUUGGCCCGUUUCAUUUCUUGCUCUGUGGUCCACUCUUUCAUCCCAUAUCAAGCACCGCAGAAUCCGAGUUUGUCUUUCAAUAGCAGCCAAAUGCAAAGGUGUGUUCCCGCCAUUAUCUGCUUGAUUUAUGAGCCAUUGUAACUCUGCUAUUUCCACCACACAUCUGACCACAUUCACUUUUGCACUAAGAACGGCAAAAUGAAGAACACUCCUACCGUUCAGGUCCAGAAGCUCUCCAGAAUCUGGGCAGUAGUGGAUAAUUCUUUCUAUUACAUCAGCAUGACCAUUCCUGGCUGCAACAUGAAGGGGUGAAUGGCCAUUUUUAUCCAAUACAUAUGCAAUACACUCGUCAAAUUCCAGCAAUCUUUCAACAGCCCUGCGGUCUCCAAGGGAUGCAGCAUGAUGGAGUGCGGUCCUGCCAUGAUGGUCAGCUUCUGUGAUGAGGUGUGGUUUUGCUCUCAGAAGGAUCUCCAUGAUAUCUGACAUCACAUAGAAAACGAGUUAUGAUCUUAAAAUAAUUCAAGAGCUUGAAUUCUACUUAGUACGAGUCAUUUCAAGUUUAAAAGAUGAGGAUGUGAGCUUAAAAGAUUGAAUUGACAGUCAUUUAAUGUGGAGAAGUAAAAAGAAAGGAUUGUCCAAGCACAGGACACUACCUGAAUGUCUCUCUAUCACAGCAGCAUGCAAAGCAGUUUGGCCCUCUGAUCCCCCAUGAGCUGAAGCUGGAGUUGAUAUCAGAAUCUGAUUCAAAAUAUCCUUCUUCCCUUCUCUAGCAGCAAGAAACAACGGAGACUCGCCAGCAUAAUUUUCAAAACAGGCCAACUUAGUAUCAACCCUUAGCAACAACUUUACGACACUCAUAUUACCGUUCCUAACAGCCUCGUGUAAAACUGUAUUAUUCUCGUUGUUUCCCUGCCUCAGUAUGUCAAACUUGCCAGUUUUUCCAUUUUCAGUGCUUAUCCUUUUUGCAGACAGAUUUUCUUUCACCAGAAAAUCAACAAUAGAGAAGUGUCCACACCUUGCAGCAACAUGUAGAGGACUGUCUCCACUCGAAUUCGGCCUUGUAAGCAGAGACCUGCAUCGAUUAUAGAUUUCAACGACAACUCCUUUAUGUCCAAAUUGCACAGCAAUAUGGAGAGGUGUAUUCCCUUGUGGAGUAAGUUUAGUAAGUAGCCUUGGCUUUUCAUUGAGAAGUUGAAGGAGAAUAUAAACAUUUCCUGAUUUUACAACUCUGUAUAGCCUUGAAUCCAUGAAAUCCUACUGGCAAACAACUCUCACAACUCUAUCUGGGCAUUGUAUUCUAACGACGAUGUGGUUUCAGGCUUGCAUGUGAACAUCUUGACCAAGAACAUAUAGGCAAAUCAAAAUUCCGACUGACUUUGAGGUAUGUUGUCCAUUAUUAGUCAAGAGAUUUACUGUUAAUGGGUCAUUGAAAGCUAUCGAAGUUGCAGUAUUUUACGGCACUCCAUAUAAGUUGGUAUCAAAUCAACAUUGACUAGAUCAAAUGUCUACCCACCAAAUAUGACAUUUGAUGUUUGAAUGAAAAGUUAAUUAAUUUAUGACUUGUGACCAUUUCAAAGAUAUAGUAGAUAGUUGUAAAUCUUCAUCAAAUGUGACAUUUAUAUUGAUGGAAACUGGACAGGGAGGAGAACUAGCCAGAGACGAAUUUAGAAGACGAAAAAACCAAAUUUCUUUCUUUUCUUUCUCCAAAGUAAGAAUAAGCCCUUUCAUUGGUGUUUUUCUGAAUUUUUUUUAUAUUUGUUUACCAUUAAAAAAGUCAAUUAACAAAAAAAAAUAUUUUUGAUUCAAAAGAAAAUCUUGCUUGGUUAAGAGGAAAGUAUUUUUUUAAUUUUAAUUAAAAAUAUUUUCUAGAAGUUGUGAAAAAUUCAAAAUUAUAUUGUUAUUUGUUGAUUAUAUCAAACUUGACCCUCAAUCUUUUGAUUACUAUAUAUUUUAUUUUGAUUUUUUUUUCAAUUUCAUCCCUUAAAAUUUGAUUUUAUAUCAAUUUUGGUCUUCAUUUUUUUUAUUGUUAUUUGCUUUUUUCUUAUCCUUUUCUUAAUUAAAAUUCUUUAUCUAUUAGAUUUAGCCCCUAUUCUUUUGAUUGUUAUUUAUUUAUUUAAAAUAAUUUAUUAAAUUGUAUUUUUUUAAUUCCAUCAUAUUUUAAUUUUUUUAUCUGUCAGAUUUUGUCUCUAUUAUUUUGAUUAUUAUUUAUUUAUUUAAAAUAAUUUAUGAAAUUAAAUUGUUUUUUUCAAUCUCAUUUUCCUUCAAUUUUUUUUAUUUGUUAGAUUUGAUUCUUAUUCUUUUAAUAAACUUGAAAAAAAAAACAUUAGUAAGUUAUUUUUCCUAACAUAACCAAACACUAAAAAAUGUUUUUUAACUCAUUUUUUAUUACACUAUCAAACAUAACAAAUAUAAUUCACUUUUCAAAAAAUUAUUUUUCAUAAAAAAAUAUUUUAUUUUAAAAAAACAUUUUCUAGCAAACAAACAGUUGAAGUUCUUAAAAUCAGUUGCAGAGAAAAUGGAACUGUCCAUACGUUUUUGGUCUCACAACUGUUGAAAGAAAUCAUAAUGUAUUAACUAAAUAACAGAGAACUGAAAAUUACAAUUCUAAGAUGGACAAUUAGCAUAUUUUUUGUUCAUAUUUAAAAUAUUUUAUGAUGUUAUGUAUGUUUAAAGAUAAAAAAACCUAUUAAAAAUUACCAAUAAUUUAAAAAUGUGAUAACAGUUUACUUUUCAAAAUAUUUUUUAUUUAAAAUUCCAUUAAAGUUAUAUAUAUUUUUUAUUUUUAAAAAAAUAUUUUUUACAAUAACAUAUUAAAAUUAUCUGAAAAUAUCAAAAAUAUUAAUUUAAAAUAAAAAAAAAUCAAAAUUUUUGAAUGCCCAGGCAUGGUGUACAUAAAAAUAGGGUUGUGAAGACACUCAAUUUAGAGAAUUUAGGAACUUCCAAACAGAAUAGAUGUUUUGGAAUGGCUAAGUUAGGUCUUCAAACAAGCUGCUGAGGCUCGGGUUUAGUUGUGUUUUUAAAAUUAUGAUAGUAAUUAUGAUUUAAAAUAUUUUUUAUUUAGAAAUAUAUUAAAAUAAAUUUUUUUUUAUUUUUAAAAAAUUAUUUUUGAUAUUAAUGAAAUAAUAUGAAAAUAUAAAAAAAAUUAUUUUAAAUAAACAAUUUAAAAUUAAAAAAAACAUAAUUUACAUUAUAUUUUCAAACACACCAUAAACACUUUAGAGAAUAAAAAGACUCAUCAUCGUAGUUUAUGGAUUUUACAAGCUCGAUUUAAGAUAGAAAUUGUCCUCCGAAUCCAGUUCAUUGUUAGCUCUUAUUACUAAGAUAAUGGAUGCUGCAUUAAACUCUCUGAGUGCUCUUAAGGCGAGCAAACUAAUAGAAAAUCAAUAAAUCAGUGGACUAGCACUACAUCGUUAGGAUGAAUUAUUAUUAUUAUUAUUAUAAGAAAUAAUGUUUAACCUUCAUGAGAUUGUUUGAAAGUACUUCAUUGUGUUAAAUAAGUUGAUUUUAUUUUAAUUAAAUUAUAAAAAUAUAAUUAAUGACAACAAAUAAACCAAAUAAAAAAAUAAUGAUAACUUGAAAAAAAGAUUUUUUUAAAAAACUUAAUGUAACUCAAUUCUUAGCCAAUUAAAUAUGAAAUGAUGAAAUUUAAAGAAAAAGAAAAGAAAAACCCGAGUCAACCCAAGUUAGUAUGAUAAACCUGUAACCCAAGUAAUAAGGGUGGGAUAACCAUGUCAUAACCCAAAUUUAGAUCCCAAAAAUGAUUUGCAUAUUUUUUUAUAUUCAAAAAUCCAAAAAAAUAAAAAAUUUCAAAUUCAAAAAUAUUUUCGGUAUACGAGGAGAUAAGCCUUCGAGCUGCAAAAAAUUAAAAUACCAAAAGAAUAGCAAGAUUAAAGUCCGUUGAUAAGAUGAGCUAAAAAAAGACUUCAUUUGAAAUAAAAUUUAAAAUUAAAAUCUAAGUUGAACAAAAUUAGAAGAAUUAAUUAAUUAAAUUUAAGAAUUUAAUUAAACUUUUAAUAAGUUUAAUUGAUUUAAUUAAAGAUUCCAUUGAAGUAAAAUUAAAUCUAAAAUCAAUUUUGUCAAAACUGAAUUAAUUAACUUCUAAUGGGUUUGGCUCACUAUACUCAACCACAGAAGACAUUAGGCUUGGCCAGGAAGAAAUCUGAGGACUCUUGGCUGCUGGUUAAAUGCAUGUGUAAGAGGGAGUGAUGAAUGAAUGGGGUUGUUGAUGAGAAAUGAGAAUCAUGAGAUUGAUGAAUGGAUGUUGUCAACAAAGUUAAUGACCCAUGAUGUUUGUGAUAAACUGAAACUUUCCACUUUUAUAUAGACAAAGUUUAAAAAAAUCUUAAGUAGCUUAAGAAUAAUAUUUUCAAAUUAAAUAAUUGGUUAUAACAAUCUUAUAUAUAUUCUCUAGUAAAAGAAAUUGAUAGCUUGAAUUUGGUGUUUGGUAGGCGAAGACAGCUUGUAAGCACCUGUACUUAAAAGAUCAUUUAUGAUAGAUGUGGAAACUCUUAUAUACUUAAAUAAAUUUUUUUAGAGAGAGAAAAUAUAAUAAUAUUAUAGAGAGAGAUACUCUCAAAUGUGUAUGGAGUAGAGAAUGAAGAUUGUGAACCUUUAUUUUAAAGGAUUCAUUGCGUAUUUAUAAUUUAAGAGUUUGGUCAUUUUGUGAAGAGGAGUGGCUGAAGUGUAACUCCACCUUUAUAAUAUUUUGAGUUGUAUUCCACUCAUUUUAUCCAGCAAAAAAAAUAAAGACAUGGUAGACCAUGAGAGACUUUCAUACACCUGAUGGUGUUGAUAGAGUAUAUACUUGUUUAAUUAAGCUUAUUUGUUGAGAAAUAAAUCCUCUAAAAUUUUAUAUAAAAAUCUAUAGAGUUAAUAGCAUUAGAUACAUGUAUUAUAUUUGAAUCCAAGGGUGCAGCGAACCCGACCAUACCCAGGGUGCGAUGAAAAAAAUCUUUGGGUUCGACACCCUCGGAUAAUGCACGACAGGCCCACCCCGCUGGCUUAGCUAGAUCUAGCGCAUCUUGGGAAAGCUAUUGGGCUUGCACGUGUCAAACCCAGAUGAUACCUGAGUUUAGCAUGCACUAGUCCUAAGUGUGUUUGGGUCUGGAGUACUACCAGACCCAUCCAUACCCAAAACCAACAACACACAACACCUGGAUUUAUUUAGCGCCAAACCUAGCAUGCUUUUACAUGGACUUGUUUUCCUGAUUCCGUAUUUUUUUUAAAAAAAUAUAUAAAAAUAUAUCGAUAAAAUCUUGUUUCAUAUUUCCACCCUUUAGCCAUGCUAACUCCUUUGUCACAUUAAUCUUAGCAGCUCCUUGCCUGUAUAUGUGAACCAACUUACAACUUGAUAGGGAUUAAGGACCGGUCAGAAACAGGGUUAAUGUUUAGAUUUUUUUUUCUUUGCAGUUGGUAUGACUAAAGCUUAUUGGUUUACUUUCUUUGAAUCAUCAAAGAAAGUAAAGGCAAUAUAUUAGUUAUGUUUGAGAUUGUGAUCUAAUUAUAUUUCUAAAAAAAUUUAAAAUUUUAUUUUAUUUUAUUUUAUUUAGUUUUAGAUUGUUUUUUAUAUUUUUAUAUUUUUUUAUUUGUUAAUAUAAAACAAAAUUAAAAAUAAAUAAAAAAUAUUAUUUUAAUAUAUUUUCAAAUAAAAAAUAUUUUUUUAAAAAAUCUUUAUUACACACCCUGCAUAAAGGAAGGACACUCGAAACAUCCAGGCUAUAAAAGAAGUCACUUACUACGUACGAAAUUAGCACCUUGAAUUAAUGGGUGUACCCUUUUCUUCAAAUUGUUCUGGAAGCACUCUCGUAACUUAAAAUUUUGAAGCAUAUCAUGAAUACGAAAAAAGAACUCCAAAUAUCAUUUGAAGCAGUUUUAGUUUGACAGGAUUGGAAACUUCAUGUACUACCACAGCAUCAGUAUCUACUUACUAGAUAAAUUUACUGUUUUUACUGCAAAGAAUCAAGAAACUUACUACAAAAUUACCUGAUUUUGGAUUUGUUUGCUUGUUUUCCAAUGCAUCCAACUUGGUUUCAUCAGAAGCAUGAGUAUAUUUUGAUGUGAAUUCAAUGGAAUUAAUCGGACAAUGGAUAGCAGUAAUCACGUUUUGUAAUUUGUUUAUACAUUUUCUAUCUAUGGAAUUUGAUUCCAAAGGCUCAUCAAACGCACAAACCAAAUGCUUUGGAUACCUUAACAGAAGCUGUCCAAAAACGUUGUCAUAACAUUUUGAAGCAGAAGGCAGAAGACUUCCUUGGUGAUCUCAUUUCUUGAUUCUGGACUUCAUCUUCCAGAAAUAAAAAAUCAAGAACUGGCAGAUUUCAGAAACAAGAAAAAUCCGCACCAACUGGAGCAGAAACAAGAAGUCACUAACAUUGAAAGCAAUCCCCACAAUAUAAAUUACACUGUCAACAAAGGGUUGAUCAGGCAAAACAGCAACAAUUCCUGAUAGGAAUGCAAUCGCUGCUGAUUGUAGCGCUAUACAAGUUAGCACGGUCGCACUUGCCAGGUAGUAAACAUAGGACUCAUCGUUACUAACACCUACCCAAAAUAUUAUGCAUGCUGCAAUCAUGGAGCUGGUCAUGGCAAUCGCGUCCGAGAAAACGAACCAUCUCAGAUGAUUGCUUGACUCCAGUAAUGCUACGCCUAGCUUGGAGCCAAAAUCAUUGUUAAAGCCUCCAGGAAGUGUGAAAGCUGCUGCAAACGUUACUGUUGCGAUUAGUGUUGCUACCAUUAAGAGGGUAUUUCCCAUUCGCUUGUAAGUUUGAAUCCUGGCAAUAGCUUCUUGGUCUGUACAUGGGGGAUUCUUUUUCCCGAUGAUUCCAUUAGAUACAGGGAUAAGUUUCCUCCAUACGCAUUCGAUUAUAUUCUGCAGUGUUAGAAGAAUAUGGUGAAUACAAUGUCAAGCUUUUAUUUGUUGUUUUUCAGAAUAAAUAAUGCACGUAGCAGCAAUUGCUUUUAGGGCUAAUUAGAUUUUAUGUACUUCUGAAAGCUAUGAAAUCAUACUUACACAACGAUAUAUAAAGCAUGAUUCUCUGAUAGAUCCAUCAAUAUCAAAGACUGAUUGGCCAGUUUCAUUUCUGGCUCUGUGGUCCACUCUUUCAUCCCAUAUCAAGCACCUCAGAAUCCGAGUUUGUCUUUCAAUAGCAGCCAAAUGCAAAGGUGUGUUCCCGCCAUUAUCUGCUUGAUUUAUGAGCCAUUGUAACUCUGCUAUUUCCACCACACAUCUGACCACAUUCACUUUUCCACUAAGAACGGCAAAAUGAAGAACACUCCUCCCGUUCAGGUCCAGAAGCUCUCCAGAAUCUGGGCAGUAGUGGAUAAUUCUUUCU
Molecule: long non-coding RNA, 7513 nt
Filed under: Populus trichocarpa (black cottonwood)
Lineage: Eukaryota; Viridiplantae; Streptophyta; Magnoliopsida; Malpighiales; Salicaceae
Description: long non-coding RNA (PTRI_LNC002785)
Source: RNAcentral